GCCCCCUUAAUCGUAAACGUGUUCAAGAAGGAGAAGAAACUGGACGUUUCAAGUAUGGAAUGUGGCUUGCUACAAAAACCCCAAAUUUCACCAAGAGUCUUCGAAGGUUAUCUGCAAAUUCCCAAAUCCAGUUAUCUUCGUUGGAAGGAAGAUCCUCUUCUAUAAAAGCAAGCUUGUCCAUUAUUCCCUACCAAAAACAAAACUCUCCAGAAAAUCGAUCAACUAACCGG
Molecule: unclassified non-coding RNA, 230 nt
Filed under: Hevea brasiliensis (rubber tree)
Lineage: Eukaryota; Viridiplantae; Streptophyta; Magnoliopsida; Malpighiales; Euphorbiaceae
Source: RNAcentral